UCGAGAAUCAUUGUCAAUGCACGAAAGUGUGAACAUGCGACGCCGCGUGGAGGAAGACGGCCUUUGGGUUGUAAACUCCUGUCAGCAGGGAAGAAAGAUAGCUUCAGUAAUACUUUUGCUAUUUGACGGUACCUGCAGAGGAAGUCACGGCUAACUCUGUGCCAGCAGCCGCGGUAAUACAGAGGUGGCGAACGUUGUUCGGAUUUACUGGGCGUAAAGGGUCCGCAGGCGGUCUUGUGUGUCAGAUGUGAAAGCCCACGGCUCAACCGUGGAAUUGCAUUUGAAACUGCAAGACUAGAGUACUGGAGGGGAGAAGGGAACACUUGGUGUAGCGGUGAAAUGCGUAGAUAUCAAGUGGAACACCGGCGGCGAAGGCGCUUCUCUGGACAGAUACUGACGCUCAUGGACGAAAGUUAGGGUAGCGAAAGGGAUUAGAUACCCCUGUAGUCCUAACCGUAAACGGUGUGCACUAGACGUGGGAGGCUUUACCCCCUUCCGUGUCUGAGCUAACGCAUUAAGUGCACCGCCUGGGGAGUACGGUCGCAAGAUUAAAACUCAAAGGAAUUGACGGGGACCCGUACAAGCGGUGGAGCAUGCGGCUUAAUUCGAUGCAACGCGAAGAACCUUACCUGGGCUUGACAUAUAGCUGCAUACGAUCCGAAAGGAACGUAGCCCUUCGAGGGUGCUAUACAGGUGCUGCAUGGCU
This 706-nucleotide ribosomal RNA is filed under the name uncultured Verrucomicrobiota bacterium. Its description in RNAcentral is "bacterial SSU rRNA". It matches the Rfam family "Bacterial small subunit ribosomal RNA", at positions 355 to 1050 of the family's 1533-position model. Lineage: Bacteria; Pseudomonadati; Verrucomicrobiota. The record is from RNAcentral.